This 464-nucleotide ribosomal RNA is filed under the name Vreelandella stevensii. RNAcentral's name for it is "partial 16S ribosomal RNA". It matches the Rfam family "Bacterial small subunit ribosomal RNA", at positions 338 to 795 of the family's 1533-position model. The record is from RNAcentral. Lineage: Bacteria; Pseudomonadati; Pseudomonadota; Gammaproteobacteria; Oceanospirillales; Halomonadaceae.
CCUACGGGUGGCAGCAGUGGGGAAUAUUGGACAAUGGGCGAAAGCCUGAUCCAGCCAUGCCGCGUGUGUGAAGAGGCCUUCGGGUUGUAAAGCACUUUCAGUGGGGAAGAAAGCCUUGGGGCUAAUACCCUCGAGGAAGGACAUCACUCACAGAAGAAGCACCGGCUAACUCCGUGCCAGCAGCCGCGGUAAUACGGAGGGUGCGAGCGUUAAUCGGAAUUACUGGGCGUAAAGCGCGCGUAGGCGGUCUGAUAAGCCGGUUGUGAAAGCCCCGGGCUCAACCUGGGAACGGCAUCCGGAACUGUCAGGCUAGAGUGCAGGAGAGGAAGGUAGAAUUCCCGGUGUAGCGGUGAAAUGCGUAGAGAUCGGGAGGAAUACCAGUGGCGAAGGCGGCCUUCUGGACUGACACUGACGCUGAGGUGCGAAAGCGUGGGUAGCAAACAGGAUUAGAUACCCGAGUAGUC